UAUUAUUACUACUCCUACUAUUGAAGUUUCUGUGUCUUCUUUCCAGGUUAACUCAAUGUUGGUGGCCUGGAUCUGGGUAUAAAGAUAAUUGGCAUGAGGCCAUCUUUGGAAAGGAAAAUGUUGAAAAGUUGCUCCCCAUUUCAGGGGACAAGAUACAAAGCUACUGCAUAGCCCUGUUUAAAACAGGGUAUGCAUCAGCCAAGUGUUAAAGAAUAAUGCCCCCAAAAGACUGACGCAGUAUCUUGCGGGAACGUCUCAAAAAUCUGCGGAGGAGGUCCUGGGGGAGUCCAGGGAGAUGUACAUGCAUGGACUCUCCCAAAGUUCUGUAAGACCCUUUUUAAAAAAUAGGACUCAUUUGGAUUGUUGAUGUUUAGCUGUCAAUUUAUGGGCUGUUACUAAUAUUUACCAUCAUCAUCAUCAUCUGCAUCAUCAUCGUCAUCAUCCUCAUCCUCAUCACUAGAAUCAGGAACAGCUUCAGUAUUAUUGACGUUGUUAAUGUUGUUACUAUUACUAAUAUUAUUACCAUUGAAGUUUCGUUGUAUCCUUUCCAGGUUAGCACGAUGCUGGUGGCUCGUUCAGGCUACAAAGAAUGGCAUGAGGCCGUCUUUGCUAAAGAAGACCAAGAAAAGCUUCUCCCCAUCACAGAGGAAAAGCUGAAAAGCUAUUCUAUAGCGCUGUUUGAGGCAGGUUACGCGCCGUCAACAAUAAUGCAUAUCCACGUGACCGGUCUCUGCAUUUGGGUAGCAUUUGAAAUGCUGUUUUUCUGUGUAUGAUUCGAUGUGCUCCUGAAUAUUGCAAAAACUCCAUUCCUUUUUUAAUUGACCGUUUUCCAUAAAAGUGAACAAUGGGAUUAUGCUUUCCACAAGGGAAACAAAGGCCUUGGCACUCCAUUCCGUUUUUCUUGGAAUUUCUAAAAAUGAAAUUCACUUUUCUUAUGUAUCCACAGCAUGCAAGCAACAGCAUUCCCUCACCUAAGAGGACUUUUCCAGGGGUUACGGGCAUAUUGAAAAGAUACUUUAAAAUCCAUCAUGGCGAAAGAGCAAAUUUUUCCCGGAAGCCGCUAUUUCCUCAAGAUGUGGAACAUCUGAUUGAUGUUUGUGGCAUUGAAAUGCCACACCAGCUACAAAUUGCAUUUAUGCUCUCUGCUUCGUUCCACUCUGGACAGAGAGGAGGAAGUUUUGUGGGACCAAGGUUGUGGUCUGGUCUCUGCCCAUUGUGCUGUUGAAAUGCUCGGAGACAUUAGCUGUUAAAGCUACUCUACAAUCCGAGGGUAAAUAAAGUAUACUACUACUACUACUACUAAGGAGAAGGACAGCAGCUGAAGAACUGCAGUGGCAGUUUAGCUGCCCUCCACCGGUGCCUUCCCACAUGAAAGUGGGCUCACUUGGUUUCAAGUAGGUAUUUAAACUAAUAAAGAGACUGACAAAGGGAUUUCAUUUACCAGUCAUCAAAAUUUUGGCAGUACCAACAGCUCAUUGUACUGCAAUAUGUGACACAAGCUGCUUAUGUGGCUUACAAACAUCCAUGGCCAUUUGCCUUAUUUUUUGUGUGUGUGUGUGUGAGAAAAUUUCAUCCAUAAUGUUCUAUUACUCGGUGUGCACUAUUAUCUACGAAAGGCAAUUAUAAUUUUUUACCUACAGAAAAGAUGAGAAUGAACUACACUUAUUAAAACAGGAUGCAACAAAUGCCCUCCACAGGAAGACUAUGUUUGAAAGAUUCUAAGUCACAUGCACAAUAUAAUUAAGCAGUUACUCUUCAAGAAUUUCUCAUAAACUUGUCCUCAGUAGGGUAUGGCUACCAACUUUAUUAUUCAACAGUCAAUCCAAAGAGGGGGAGUAUUCCCACAAGAGGAUGUGCCAACUCUUUGCUACUUAGCCAGCUGGUCAGAAAACUCAGGGGCAUGGCGGUUAUAUGUUAAAGAGAACGGCACUCCACUUAAAAGUUUAUGGGAUGCUUUUCACUCUGUGGUAAUCUGCGGUGGAUUCAACGAGAAAAUGGUUACUCAUCACUGCAAUUGUGCUGGUAUGGCCACCAAUUUUAUUAUUAUCAGAUCGAUUGAAAGAGGGGGAGUA
Molecule: unclassified non-coding RNA, 2072 nt
Filed under: Orbicella faveolata
Lineage: Eukaryota; Metazoa; Cnidaria; Anthozoa; Scleractinia; Merulinidae
Description: uncharacterized LOC110045622, transcript variant X2
Source: RNAcentral